CCCGCUGAACUUAAGCAUAUCAAUAAGCGGAGGAAAAGAAACCAACAGGGAUUGCCCCAGUAACGGCGAGUGAAGCGGCAACAGCUCAAAUUUGAAAUCUGGCCUUCUGGUCCGAAUUGUAAUUUGUAGAGGAUGACUUUGGUUAGGUACCUUUCGAGUUCCUUGGAACAGGACGCCUUAGAGGGUGAGAGCCCCGUACGAUUGGAUGCCGAGCCUUUGUAAGUCUCCUUCGACGAGUCGAGUAGUUUGGGAAUGCUGCUCUAAAUGGGAGGUAAAUUUCUUCUAAAGCUAAAUACCGGCCAGAGACCGAUAGCGCACAAGUAGAGUGAUCGAAAGAUGAAAAGCACUUUGAAAAGAGGGUUAAAUAGUACGUGAAAUUGUUGAAAGGGAAGGGUUUAUGACCAGACCUUUGCGUUGGGAAUCAUCCGGUGUUCUCACCGGUGCACUUCCCUUCGUUGAGGCCAGCAUCAGUUUUGGUUGGGGGAUAAAGACUUUAGGAAUGUGAUUCCUCCGGGAAUGUUAUAGCCUUUUGUGUAAUACCCUGACCGGGACUGAGGACCGCGCUUCGGCUAGGAUGCUGGCAUAAUGGUCAUCAGCCACCCGUCUUGAAACACGGACCAAGGAGUCGAACAUUUAUGCGAGUGUUUGGGUGUUAAACCCUCACGCGUAAUUAAAGUGAACGGAGGUGAGAGCCCUUACGGGUGCAUCAUCGACCGAUCCUGAUGUCUUCGGAUGGAUUUGAGUAAGAGCAUAACUGUUCGGACCCGAAAGAUGGUGAACUAUGCGUGGAUAGGGUGAAGCCAGAGGAAACUCUGGUGGAGGCUCGCAGCGGUUCUGACGUGCAAAUCGAUCGUCAAAUCUGCGCAUGGGGGCGAAAGACUAAUCGAACCAUCUAGUAGCUGGUUAC
RNAcentral lists this ribosomal RNA (907 nucleotides) under Microdochium phragmitis. RNAcentral's name for it is "eukaryotic LSU rRNA". It matches the Rfam family "Eukaryotic large subunit ribosomal RNA", at positions 24 to 958 of the family's 3401-position model. Lineage: Eukaryota; Fungi; Ascomycota; Sordariomycetes; Xylariales; Microdochiaceae. The record is from RNAcentral.